UACGGGAGAGGCGAGCGUUAUCCGGAAUUAUUGGGCGUAAAGCGUCCGCAGGUGGCCAAUUAAGUCUGUCGUUAAAUCGUGGAGCUCAACUCCAUACAAGCGAUGGAAACUGAUUGGCUAGAGUACGGUAGGGGUAGCGGGAAUUCCAGGUGUAGCGGUGAAAUGCGUAGAUAUCUGGAAGAACACCAGCGACGAAAGUGCGCUACUGGGCCUGUACUGACACUCAUGGACGAAAGCCAGGGGAG
Molecule: ribosomal RNA, 245 nt
Filed under: uncultured bacterium
Lineage: Bacteria
Description: partial 16S ribosomal RNA
Rfam family: Bacterial small subunit ribosomal RNA
Source: RNAcentral